Molecule: ribosomal RNA, 460 nt
Filed under: uncultured bacterium
Lineage: Bacteria
Description: partial 16S ribosomal RNA
Rfam family: Bacterial small subunit ribosomal RNA
Source: RNAcentral
CCUACGGGAGGCAGCAGUGAGGAAUAUUGGUCAAUGGCCGGAAGGCUGAACCAGCCAUGCCGCGUGAAGGUCAGUGCCCUAUGGGCGUUAAACUUCUUUUGUGCGGGAGCAAUAAUGGUCACGUGUGGCCAGACGAGAGUACCGUACGAAUAAGCAUCGGCUAACUCCGUGCCAGCAGCCGCGGUAAUACGGGGGAUGCAAGCGUUAUCCGGAUUUAUUGGGUUUAAAGGGUGCGUAGGCUGGGAGGUAAGUCAGCGGGGAAAUGCCCCCGCUCGACGGGGUGAAGUGCCAUUGAUACUGCCUUGCUGGAAGGCGGAUGCCGUGGGAGGAAUGUGUGGUGUAGCGGGGAAAUGCAUAGAUAUCACACAGAACACCGAUUGCGAAGGCAUCUCACGAAUCCGCGAUUGACACUGAUGCACGAAAGCGUGGGUAUAAAACAGGAUUAGAUACCCCAGUAGUC